UUUAUAAUUUUAACUUGACGUCAGCGGAAAAGUGGUCACAUGACUAAGGGAAUCCUUAGCAAAACAACACUGUUGGAAAUACGGAGUUAUCACUAGUGCGUGAACAAGAUAAACACUACUAAACAACACACUAGAAUUAGAUCCAGAGUCAGACAGAAAUCAUGAGCGCAGUACACCCAGCAUCUGCCCCACCGCCAUAUGACAGUGCUUAUCCACCACCUCAAGGGUAUGGACAAAGUGCCCCUUACCCACCCCCAGGCUACGGUGCUCCUCCUCCAGCUGGGUAUGGGCCGCCCCCACCAGCUGGAUAUGGACCGCCCCCACCGGCAGGGUUUGUACCACCUCCACAAGGCUAUGGAGCUUACAACCAACAACCAUUUGGAUAUGGACAGCCUGGUCAGUACCACCAUCAGCAUCCGCCAAACCAUCCACCACAACAAGUGGUCUAUGUGCAUGAGGAAAGACGGAAGAGUCAUGACAACUCUGCAGAGACUUGUUGCAUUAUAGCUUUAUGCAGUGCCUUGUUGUGUUGCUGUUUCUUUGAUUAGUUUGGACCUUCUUACAAACACAACGGAACAUUCCACAUUAUUCUCAGUUAAACGAAAUCAACAUUGCUCAUUUGCAGUAUUUGUGUAACAAAAUCUUUCUUUCUACGUGUUUGAUUUAAUGUAACUGUUUAAUGGUAUAUUGAUUUCAAAUAAUUUUGUACCUUGUAUGUAUUGAUAUUGAGUAAUGAAAAUUAUGGACUGAGACUAGGAGAAAUUUUAACAGAAACAAAAUGGGCAAAAUAUGAUAAAAAAAUUUAUUUUGUUAGUCUGUCAUUUUAGUUUGUAAUUGGAAUUACUUGUAAAUAUUUGUUAUCCAAUUUUGUACAUUUUUUUUGUUUCUAUUCUAUGUUUACAAUUGAUUGAAUAGAGACUAGAAACAAAUAUUACUUUGGAAUAUUAAUUAAAGAAAAUGUGAGAAAAUAAAAGUCUAUGGUAUUUCUACGUCUUAAUUUAUACAAAUUUUGAUUGAACUAUAAAUUUAUGAAAUAUCAGUAUCUACAGUAAUUUUCUGUCCCGAUGUUGGUUUAUAUUAAGUAAGAGAAAAAUAAGAAAUUGCAAGGCAAUAAACAUUUUUUUAUGCAUUUUAAUUUAUAAGAUUAUCAAUUUGAUAAUUUAGUUUUGUUUUUAAAUAUUUUGGGGGUGCAGUGGCUGAGUGGUUAAGCGCUUGGGUUCCCAACCUUGGGUCCUGGGUUCAAAUUUCUGUGAAGAUUGGGAUUUUGAAUUUCGGGAUUUUUAGGGCGCCCCUGAGUCCACCCAGCUCUAAUGGGUACCUGACUUAAGUUGGGGAAAGUAAAGGCGGUUAACUGUUGGCCAUAGAAACAGAUGACCUUAACAUCAUCUGCCCCAUAGAUCGCAAGAUCUGAAAGGGAAACUUUAAUCUGAAUCUAAAAACUCAGUAGUUUUGUUGAUAACAACAGCACACUUAUACCAUUAAUUAAAAUAACAGACAUUUUUUUAUUUAAUCAGAAUAGUCAGAGCUAUGGUUAUACAGACACUCUCUCAUUGGUCCAUGGACUAUUUUGUUUUCUUUCCUUUGGAAGCUUUCUUGGAAUAAUUUACUGUCAUUUAUUUGCUGUACAUAUGGAGGACUACAAAAUCAGUGGUUCUAAUGUUUUGUUGUUCCACUGUGAAUUUAUGCUAUUAAUAUUGUUGUAUGAAAUGAAUCCACCCUGCUUUAGUCAGGUAGCUAAUAAUAAUAAGAUGAUGAUUUUUCUAUCCUGCAGAAAAUUAGUUUUACAGCUCUGUUUUACGAAACAAUACAGCACUACUUGUACAAAAUGAAUGUCUUCUUGUCAAAACAAAUACUUGAUAGACAGCUUACAUUCAUGUGUUAAUCACUUUUAAGUGCAAACUUCAAAGGCCAUUGAGCUGAGUUUAAGGAUAACAAAAUAUACAAAUAAAUCUGAAAAAAUAUUUGUAUAUACCGGUACAUGUACAUUACUGAUUACUCACAGCCCAGCGCUUGAGUGUCUCUGCACCAGUGCUUCGCAAUCUUUAUUCUAAGUACUGAAAUAAAUUUUUCAUUUUAAUGUAACUCUUAAGGUGCAUUAUAUAUAUAUAUACAUAGUGCUUUUUUUUGUUUUUUGUGACAGGUGCUUUUUUUGUGACAAUGCAGUGUGUACCGGCACCUUUUUUCGUGUGGGGAAAAUUACUUUUCUUAAAUUUUAAUGUUUAUUAUUAAUGUAUUAGAAGUUAAAAGUUGGGCAAUUUAUCACUGAGUACUGGCAUCUAUUUUUUUUUUUUUUUACAAAAAAGCACUGUAUGUAUAUAUAUAUGUGUGUGUGUGAGAUAUUUUACAGUAUUAGUUUACAUACUCAGAUACCUGAACUGACUGACAAAGUUACACAUAAAAUAGUAUCAUCUCCCAUGUCUAUACUGCUGUCAGCCAAUUUGUUUUCCUGUUUAUUGAAAUAAAAACUGAAGACUAGCCCUUAACCUAACUCCUACAUUCUGCAAAAAUUGUUAGCAAAGCAAAUACUGGAAAAAGCCAAUCAGUGGAGUUUCUCUAGUGCUGGUCCUUAAGUAGAAAGAAAUGGUGUAUUUCCAAGUGCAGUACAUCGAUUUAUAAAAUUUAAUUUAAAAAAAAAUCCAAAGCCAUUUGUCUCUGGGUAAAACAAACUACAUAUUAGUAAUCUACAUAUUUCAAUAUGAAUUCUUACAUUUAUGUAGAAGUAUGAUUCUAGAUAUCUUUUCAUGUAAACUGAUACAGUAUAUACAUAAAAUUGUUAUUGCUGCACUGACUUUAAAACAAGCCUACAUGAUGCAAUGGAAUAUAUCUAUAGAUCUGUAUUGUUUAUUGAUUUGACCUAUAUUCAGCUGAAUUAGGUCAUAUGUUACAACCAUUUGUCUCACAUUCUCAUACAUAUAUUAAGAAUUCCUUAAUGUAAAUCUCAUUAUGUAUAUAUAUAUAUAGCAGCAUUAUCAUUUUAAUAAUUGAUAUAUAUUUAUUUCAACAUUCCAAUAUUUAAAAGUCUUAAAAAAAAAAAGAAUGUUAUAUUCAAGAAACAUUUUACCUCUUGUUGCAUGAAUUACCUCCCUUUUACCAUGUUCUCCUGUUUACAUUUUUAAUCUAAGUCAUAUUUCAGAACUAAUUUUUUUUUUUAGAAGUGUAACUUAACCAUUUUUUCCACAAGAGUUUGUAAAUCCAUAUUGAAUUUGUAAUCAGUUUUUUUUUUCUUUUUGAAUAUCAUCUGCUUUGGGUAAAUUUAGACAUAGUUUUUGUGUCUCUGUGGUAUAAGAAUUGCGUUAGUAAAGUCUCUGUAUAUUACAAGAAAUCAAUUUUUUAAUAUUUUUUUUUCCAAGGAAAAAAACUACAUGUUUUUGUGUUUAGUUAACAGAAAUGGCAAGUUUAUAAUAGCAGUCCCAUAUACCAUGGGGUGGAAGGCUUGGCAGAGUUAUUGACAUACAUGACGAUUGACCUAGGGACACGCACGCAUAGGAAAUAAACAUCAUUUUUUUUUUAUACAGGAAAGUCUAUAUCUUAUAAGAAGAAGGCUGCUUGUGUUAGAAUACUUUCAAGUGCAUAAACAGGUUAGGUUAAAUUGAAUUUAUUUUUAUUUCUAUCUAAGAGAAAAUCUAGAUUCACACAUAAAUCUUCAUUAUAAAUAUGUUUUACUUAAAAAAGACAUUCCAUAGAAAGAAAAUAAUACAACAAAUAUUACACCAUUCCAUUACAAAAUAGCCACAUAAUUUCUGAAUAUCUAUAUCAAAGACAAUUUGUGUUGUGCAAUCUGUUUGUUGAAUAUCUUAGAAUAGAAGUACUUCUAGUCCCAGUAAAAGCACUGUCCCAAUGAUCCCAGGUUCAAAUCCUGACCGCAUCCACUCUGGUGUUCUGAAGAAGGACUAGCUAUCUUCAUUUCAAAGGGAAACUUACACAAAUAUCAGUUCUGAUUGUACAGAAAAAUAAAAAAGUUUGUUGUCUAUGUGGCUUCUUCUUCUUCUAGCCAGCUUUAUUGCUGCUGAGCUGUGAGCUCUUUUGCAGACUGUGCCAAGGAAAAGAAGUGUGCUGUUUUCUUUAGUUGUUCAGCACUGCCGUACAGGGUGUUGGUUAUGUUGGGCUGUAGUGGAAGUAGGGUCUGCCUAAGGUGGAUUUGGGAGGGGCAUUCAAAGAGGAUAUGGUUUACGGUUUCAAAGGGGUGGGUGCGGUGUCUGCAAAUGGGGAGUUGUGUGGAGUUUAUUUUGUUCAGAUGGUAAUUUGAUAGUGGUGUGUGUCCUGUUCUUAGUUGGAAAAUUGUAGAUUGUUCUUUGCGGGGGAGGAAGCUAAUACUGUCUUGUUUGUUAGGCGAAGUCAUUUCUUUGUACAUGGCUCUGCCUGUGUUUCCUGAUGCCCAUUGGUUGAACCACUCCUCUUUGUGAUUGUUGACUAACAUUGACCUUAGGGUGAGGUAGUUAACAGGUCUAUCUGGUUGUUCCAUAGAUGAACCUGCCUUUGAUAGCUUAUCUGCCUUUUCAUUUCCCAUGAUGCCAAUGUGUCCAGGGAUCCAUUGUAGUGUGAUAUUGAUAUUUAAUUUUGAUAUCAUCUGUUGGAUUAUCACAAUUAGUGUUGUCAACUCUCUUGGGCUGUUUGAGGUGCUGCUGUUAAGUGCUUGCAGAGUAGAUUGGGAGUCUGUCUAAGUGGCUAAAAAACUAGGAUGCCAUAGUCAUGUGGUAUUUGGUCUGUUGUCCCAAUGUUGUAUCCUGCUCUCUGCCAUCCCAUGCAAGAGCUAUGGGCAAGGAUGUAAUAAUUUCAUUACUAAAUGGAAUGUCUUGAAACAUAAAAUAAAACAAAUGAAAUAGUUUCUGUCCUGACAGCAACUGCAGCUAAAUUGUAAUGCAGAAUAAAAGCUUUUCUUUUUUUCAUUGCACCCAAUGUUUUGUUUUCAGUGGGAUGUCAAAAGGGCCUGUAUUUAUUAUCAUCUCUAUAGCAAUGCAUAUUUAAAUCAAAAUUUUACUAAUUUCUUUAAAUUAUGAUUGAUAUUCAGAUAUUUAUAUUAAUUUAUACUUUGAUCUGGUAAUUUAAAAUAUAUUGAUGUACACCACAGAUUUGUUCUUUAAAAUAAUGGUUAAAUGUCUUUCUUAAAUAUUUUUAGCACCACAGUAAGUCUGCACACAUGUAAAAAUAUGAUUAUUGUUUUUUAAUUGUUUUUGUUGGAACACAUUUUUUUUCAUAGGAUUUGUUUAUGUUGUUUGUAAACCACAUUUAUAACUUGAAAUAUAGAUCUACUACAGUGUUAGAGGGGAACUAGAAAGACAUUGCACUGUACUGUAUUUCAAAAGAGGAGAAAUCACAAGUACAACCUGGCAAGAGUUCCUAUUGCUAGUGAACCUUGUUUACUCAAUAAGCAGCUUAUAUUAUUGUUACUUUUUUUUUUCACUGUACCAAUGCCAUAUAUUUUUUUUUAUAACUAAAGGGGCCUUAAAUUAAUUUUUGUAAACAUACUGGUUUUAUUUGUAUUGUUUCGAAACAUUAACAAAAUUUUUAAGCUAAAUUCUUGAAUUUGAGCCAGUUUAAUUCCUUAAGUCAUCAGCCUUGUAAAAGUAUAGGACAUUUCUGUAAAUACAAGUUUUAUUUUUUUCUA
Long non-coding RNA from Biomphalaria glabrata, 5605 nucleotides. RefSeq lists it as uncharacterized. NCBI's taxonomy places the organism in Eukaryota, Metazoa, Mollusca, Gastropoda, Planorbidae. The record is from RefSeq and is a predicted model, not a curated record. The transcript is spliced from 3 exons.